RNAcentral lists this transfer RNA (73 nucleotides) under Elusimicrobiota bacterium. RNAcentral describes it as "tRNA-Arg". It matches the Rfam family "tRNA". From Rfam's summary of the family: Transfer RNA (tRNA) molecules are approximately 80 nucleotides in length. Their secondary structure includes four short double-helical elements and three loops (D, anti-codon, and T loops). Further hydrogen bonds mediate the characteristic L-shaped molecular structure. tRNAs have two regions of fundamental functional importance: the anti-codon, which is responsible for specific mRNA codon recognition, and the 3' end, to which the tRNAs corresponding amino acid is attached (by aminoacyl-tRNA synthetases). tRNAs cope with the degeneracy of the genetic code in two manners: having more than one tRNA (with a specific anti-codon) for a particular amino acid; and 'wobble' base-pairing, i.e. permitting non-standard base-pairing at the 3rd anti-codon position. The record is from RNAcentral. Lineage: Bacteria; Pseudomonadati; Elusimicrobiota.
GCCCCGUUAGCUCAACUGGAUAGAGUACCGGUCUUCGGAACCGGUGAUAUGGGUUCAAAUCCCUUGCGGGGCA